CGGACGGGUGAGUAAUGUCUGGGAAACUGCCUGAUGGAGGGGGAUAACUACUGGAAACGGUAGCUAAUACCGCAUAACGUCGCAAGACCAAAGAGGGGGACCUUCGGGCCUCUUGCCAUCGGAUGUGCCCAGAUGGGAUUAGCUAGUGGGUGGGGUAACGGCUCACCUAGGCGACGAUCCCUAGCUGGUCUGAGAGGAUGACCAGCCACACUGGAACUGAGACACGGUCCAG
RNAcentral lists this ribosomal RNA (232 nucleotides) under uncultured bacterium. RNAcentral describes it as "partial 16S ribosomal RNA". It matches the Rfam family "Bacterial small subunit ribosomal RNA", at positions 99 to 334 of the family's 1533-position model. The record is from RNAcentral.